GUUUCACCAAGCUCUGGUGCUCCUGGAUCUACCUGCCUAAUUGUAACUUCAGACAAUGGACUUCCUUGAGAGCUGCACAAAGCUCCUAACAUUGCAUGUUGUAACUGUGAAAUGUAACUGCAAAAUAAGCAACCUUACUCAUACUCUAAACAAUAAUGUAGUUAUGGUACUAAUGACCUAAUGUAACCUAUUGGUAUAAAUAAACAUGGCCACUUGGACAAGGAGCCACUUUGCCACCUUCCCUGCUCUGCACCUUGUCUCUGUCUCCUCUUUAUAAUUAUUCCUUAGAAUGUAGUAAGACCCUGUCUCAAAAAAUAAAAGGAUAUAUAGAUUAGUGGUAAAGCACUCCUGGGUUGAAUCCCCAGUACCAAAAAAAAAAAAAAAAAAAGAACACAAAGUGUUAUAUGUCCAUUAGACCAAUCUUGUUAAUUGUGCUAUUCAAAUCAUAUAUAUCCUAGUUUUUCUAUUCAUUCUUAAUGUAUCAAUUACAAAAAUCUGUAUUAAAACUUUGCACUGGGGCUGGGGAUGUGGCUCAAGAGGUAGCGC
Molecule: long non-coding RNA, 546 nt
Filed under: Marmota monax (woodchuck)
Lineage: Eukaryota; Metazoa; Chordata; Mammalia; Rodentia; Sciuridae
Source: RNAcentral